Poecilia latipinna (sailfin molly) is the source of this 1071-nucleotide long non-coding RNA. RefSeq lists it as uncharacterized. The record is from RefSeq and is a predicted model, not a curated record. The transcript is spliced from 2 exons. Lineage: Eukaryota; Metazoa; Chordata; Actinopteri; Cyprinodontiformes; Poeciliidae.
GGGACGACACACAAGGUCAGCCUGGUUCUGAAGGACAACCCAGAGGAAGCCCCCAGCAUGAUGCUGCCACCUCCAUGCUCUCUGUUUGGUGCUGAACUGGUUUGACUGGGUCAGCUAAUCGCUGCAGAAACUGUAAAUGAUUCACCAGCAUCUCAAACUGUCGCCAUGGUUACAUGCUGACACUCAGACACAGGUUUACUUUUAGCAUGAACCCAUUUGCACUGAUCAUUAGCUUUGUAACCAUAGCAACAGCAGAGUCAGGUCUGCUGCAGGCUGAGCUGACUAGCUGACUCACCACCACCAACAUGAAGGAGACUCCGGCUGCUGAUGUCACUGUUGUCAUGGAGAUGGACAGGCACAACAGCGACUGGCUGAGACCUAGUUUACUCUGCUGAGGCUUCAGUCAUAUGCUCUGCUUUGUUAAACAUUAGCUUCGUUAGCUACUAGCUUCAUUAGCUUUUAGCUUCAUUAGCUACUAGCUUCAUUAGCUUCUAGCUUUGUUAGCUUUUAGAUUCACUAGCAACUAGCUUCUUUGGCUUCCUUAACUACUAACUUCAUUAGAAACUAGCUUCAUUAGCUUCCUUAGCUUCUAGCUUCAUAAGCAACUAGCUUCAUUAGCUUGUAGCUUUGCUAGCUACUAGCUUUAUUAGAAACUAGCUUCUUUAGCUUCAUUAGCUACUAGCUUCAUUAGAUUCAUUAGCAACUAGCUUCCUUAGCUUCAUUAGCUUCUAGCUUCAUAAGCUACUAGCUUCAUUAGCUUCUAGCUUUGUUAGCUACUAGCUUUUUUAGAAACUAGCUUCUUUAGCUUCCUUAGCUUCAUUAGCUACUAGCUUCCUACAGAGAAGAGCUAAAACCUGAAAACAAUACAAUACAUAUUAAAUUGUCGUCUUUCUUCCAGUCAGGAAAAGUUUUCUCUGUGUUUUUUUUUUUGUUUUUCUUGCUGACUAAAUGUUCAUGAAUUAACAUUUGGGUUUUCUAAAUGCAGUAAAUGAUGUUAGAUCAGGAUUAGGAUUUCUCUCUGGAAUGUUCUCCUGUCUUUCCCCUUCUGAAGAAAUCAAUAUCUUCCUAUAA